UCGAGGAUCUUUCGCAAUGGGCGCAAGCCUGAUCCAGCCAUGCCGCGUGAGUGACGAAGGCCUUAGGGUCGUAAAGCUCUGUCGGAGGGAACGAAUGCUCCUGAAGUUAACAGCUUCAGGAAGUGACGGUACCCUCAAAGGAAGCACCGGCUAACUCUGUGCCAGCAGCCGCGGUAAUACGAAGGGAGCUAGCGUUGUUCGGAAUCACUGGGCGUAAAGCGCACGUAGGUGGGCAGUUAAGUCAGGGGUGAAAGCCCGAGGCUCAACCUCGGAAUUGCCUCUGAUACUGGCUGUCUAGAGUUCGAGAGAGGUGAGUGGAAUUCCUAGUGUAGAGGUGAAAUUCGUAGAUAUUAGGAAGAACACCGGUGGCGAAGGCGGCUCACUGGCUCGAUACUGACACUGAGGUGCGAAAGCGUGGGGAGCAAACAGGAUUAGAUACCCAAGUAGUCCCUGAGCGGGCUGGCAAGGCGCAU
Molecule: ribosomal RNA, 473 nt
Filed under: uncultured bacterium
Lineage: Bacteria
Description: bacterial SSU rRNA
Rfam family: Bacterial small subunit ribosomal RNA
Source: RNAcentral